CGGACGGGUGAGUAACACGUGGGUAACCUGCCCUAAAGUGGGGGAUAACAUUUGGAAACAGAUGCUAAUACCGCAUAAAACCUAACACCGCAUGGUGUAGGGUUGAAAGAUGGUUUCGGCUAUCACUUUAGGAUGGACCCGCGGUGCAUUAGUUAGUUGGUGAGGUAAAGGCUCACCAAGACCGUGAUGCAUAGCCGACCUGAGAGGGUAAUCGGCCACACUGGGACUGAGACACGGCCCAGACUCCUACGGGAGGCAGCAGUAGGGAAUCUUCCACAAUGGACGAAAGUCUGAUGGAGCAACGCCGCGUGAGUGAAGAAGGUUUUCGGAUCGUAAAACUCUGUUGUUGGAGAAGAAUGUAUCUGAUAGUAACUGAUCAGGUAGUGACGGUAUCCAACCAG
RNAcentral lists this ribosomal RNA (401 nucleotides) under Latilactobacillus sakei. RNAcentral describes it as "bacterial SSU rRNA". It matches the Rfam family "Bacterial small subunit ribosomal RNA", at positions 99 to 486 of the family's 1533-position model. Lineage: Bacteria; Bacillati; Bacillota; Bacilli; Lactobacillales; Lactobacillaceae. The record is from RNAcentral.